This 253-nucleotide ribosomal RNA is filed under the name uncultured bacterium. Its description in RNAcentral is "partial 16S ribosomal RNA". It matches the Rfam family "Bacterial small subunit ribosomal RNA", at positions 524 to 776 of the family's 1533-position model. The record is from RNAcentral.
UACGUAGGGGGCAAGCGUUGUCCGGAAUCAUUGGGCGUAAAGCGCGUGUAGGCGGCUCGAUAAGUCUGCUGUGAAAGUCCAGGGCUCAACCCUGGGAUGCCGGUGGAUACUGUCGAGCUCGAGUCCGGAAGAGGCGAGUGGAAUUCCUGGUGUAGCGGUGAAAUGCGCAGAUAUCGGGAAGAACACCCGUGGCGAAGGCGGUUCUCUGGGACGGUACUGACGCUGAGACGCGAAAGCGUGGGGAGCGAACAGG